RNAcentral lists this long non-coding RNA (1680 nucleotides) under Cricetulus griseus (Chinese hamster). RNAcentral's name for it is "lncRNA (ENSCGRG00015039118.1)". The record is from RNAcentral. Lineage: Eukaryota; Metazoa; Chordata; Mammalia; Rodentia; Cricetidae.
AGGGUCUUGGGGUAAACAGUGCAGUCUUACCGUCCCCACCAGUAUCUCCUCUCCUCUCACUUGCUGCCUGUCUACAGUCAAGACUUCACUCAAGAAGUCUUCAUAGAGGACAUCCCAGCCCUUCAGCUAUUACUCACCAACGAAACGUUUACAAGGCCAACUUGAUCUCACUAUCUUUCCCUGAGAACAAUCGUGGGACCACAGCCUUCUCCAAUACCGCAGCUCAUUAAUCCACCAGAAACAUGCAGAAUGGCAGAAGGACUUUCCAAGGAAAUAAAUGAUUUGUGUUCAAUGAUUAUUUAUAAACAGUUGUAAAGAUAAGCAGUUGUAAAAGUUUACCUAUUAACAGUAGCUAUCAUGAGAACUCAAUCUAGACUAGAGUUUUGACAUUUAGGUUUUUAUGCUCCAGGAAAUAAGCUCAGGUAAUACAUGUUCUUUUUAGUUUUUGGCUUUUUUUCCCCCCAGACAACUCUACUGAGUUUUCAACAAAAUAAUCUCAUAAAUUAACAUUGGUCAAUAAUAUAAACUAGACUACAAACAUUAGUUGGCUCUCAAGAGUCCGUCUUUUCUGUAUUUGAGUGGCUGACAUUGAAUGCACCCAGAAUUUCAUGGCCUUCUCCAUCCUCUCUCUUUCCACCCACUGAGGGAUGUGUGGUUUUCCCUUCUAUCAUGUGGCUGACAUGUUUGAAAAGUGUUGACCUGUUACUCCGCAGAACAUCUUUCAGUUUGGUUUCCUUUGGCUUCUUCUUAGAGAUCCUAUUAGAGCAGCCAUGAUGUCAGUGUGUCUUAUCACAGCUAAUGUUGACCUUGACCCCUUGGUAAAGUGGUGUGUGCUGUCUCCACUGAAUGAUUGUCCCUCUAUAAUCACUAAGGAUCUGACAGAGACACUUCCAGACUAGGAAAGUGUACUGGUUCUCCUCUCACCAACCAAAUUAGUAUCCAUUGGUAGAUCUUACCUCCAAUGGUGAUUUUCUAUUUCCUCCAUCUUCGUUCAUUCAUUAAUUAGAAUUCUUAUUUAUUUUCUUGUCCCAAUUUGUCCAGUUUUGGUCUUAGAGAGGCCAGGUUCUUCAGGCUGGCUCCUUGUAUACACCCACAUCAUUUGCAAACAUCUUUUUGUUUUCUGGCAUCACGAAAUAUCCCAAGUUCACUCUGUUUUUUCCUGUUCUCACUCCAGAAAUGAGCUCUUCUCUGGGAUACCAGCAUGCCUUUUUAGAAGUGUAUUUAGAAACAAAGAUAAGGUUUCUAGGGCCACUCAUUGCUGUUGGAUUAGUAUUGCUUUUAGGCCCCUUCAUAUAGCUAGAAUACAUGGUCCCACAGAUAUGAACACAUACGCAUAUUUAUAUAGGUAUUUUCAUGGAUACACAUUUAUCUACCUACCUGCUCAGGUCAUGGCUUCGUGCCAGCACCUCCAAAGCCAACCCAAACAACGGGACCAAACAGAAAGGAGACACUAUCUGAACAUAAGUAUCCAUUCCUCAGGGUCCUGUAGACCCAGUGUGGUUAGCCAUCAUCAUCUGCUAGGGUGACUGUAUCCCUCAGAGAUGAAUGCCAAAUAAUUCCCUCAAGUUGUUUUUUGUGGGAUGUUUUGUAGCAAAAAGACAAGUCUUUAGUACAGAUUUUUUAAAAUUGCUUAUCAGGUUUGAUUAUUUUGGCAGUGUUUUUUAAAAAGCCUAGUUUUGC